GACGAACGCUGGCGGCGUGCUUAACACAUGCAAGUCGAACGGAAAGGCCUUUUCGGAGGUACUCGAGUGGCGAACGGGUGUGUAACACGUGGGGGAUCUGCCCUGCACUCUGGGAUAAGCCUGGGAAACUGGGUCUAAUACCGGCUAGGACCGCACUUUAGUGUGUGUGGUGGAAAGUUUUUUCGGUGUAGGAUGAGCCCGCGGCCUAUCAGCUUGUUGGGGGGGUAAUGGCCUACCAAGGCGGGGACGGGUAGCCGGACUGGGAGGUUGUUCGGCGACAUUGGGACCGAGGUGCGGCCGAGGCGGCGACGGGAGGGAGCAGGGGGGAAGGUUGCACAAGGGGGGCAGGGCGGGUGCAGCGGGGCCGCGGGGGGGAUGACGGGCUUCGGGUUGAAGACUGGUUGCGCGAGGGACGAAGCGUUUUGUGACGGUACCUGGAGAAGAAGCACCGGCUAACUACGUG
RNAcentral lists this ribosomal RNA (463 nucleotides) under uncultured bacterium. RNAcentral describes it as "partial 16S ribosomal RNA". It matches the Rfam family "Bacterial small subunit ribosomal RNA", at positions 28 to 507 of the family's 1533-position model. The record is from RNAcentral.